GCAGUGCAGCUCUCCCUCCUGCCUGCUCCAUCUGUGGCAAUCCCACCCAGAGGAGAUGUUGCAAGCCAUCUCUGAUUAACACAGGGCUAUAUAACCCUGUUUGCCAAAGCAAGACUAAGAGAGAAGGGAGACACAGACCUUGAGACCUCAGAAGCAGAGCCAGGGAGGACACAGAGGCAGAGCCAGUGGGACAGCAAUGCCAGCCUCUGGGAAUGUGAGGAGAGGAGGAGGAUGCUGCCUUCCCAAGAGGAAGGCUCCUGCCCCACCUGAGGACUCGUGGCUGCACAGCAGGAAACUCUACCACAGCAGAGAAGGCUCAAAUCAAUUCUGGUGGGAAGCAGCACCCUGUGCUGCCCAGAAAGCAAAGUCCAGUAUUGAAGCUGAUCCAUUUAGUGCCAAAGAGGUCACAAAUUGGAGCAUCUUCACUGCCCAUGUGGAUGGUUGGUGACAACUUCAAACCUGGCAUAUGUAGAAAGGACAACACUGCAUUUCUAAGACCCUAUGGCUGAAAUAUGAAAAUAUUAUACUCCAGAUAGGAGCAGUUGUGGCUGAGAUGAACAGUUCUCAUCAAUCCAGUGUGAAAAUAAACAUUAUGCACAAUGAUCAACCCUCAGCUGAGUGGAGGCUGGGAGGUCUGUACUGGU
Molecule: long non-coding RNA, 644 nt
Organism: Pipra filicauda (Wire-tailed manakin)
Lineage: Eukaryota; Metazoa; Chordata; Aves; Passeriformes; Pipridae
Exons: 4
Source: RefSeq, a predicted model, not a curated record